UUCGCAAUGCCCGAAAGGGUGACGAAGCGACGCCGCGUGGGUGAGGAAGGCCUUCGGGUUGUAAAGCCCUGUCAGGAGUUAAGAAAUGUAAGUGUGCUAAUAUCGCAUUUACUUGACGAAGGCUCCAAAGGAAGUCACGGCUAACUCUGUGCCAGCAGCCGCGGUAAUACAGAGGUGGCAAGCGUUGUUCGGAAUUAUUGGGCGUAAAGAGCACGUAGGUGGGUUUGUAAGUCAGAUGUGAAAGCCUCCUGUUCAACGGGAGAAUUGCAUCUGAAACUACUGAUCUUGAGUAUAGGAGGGGAGAAUGGAACUUCUGGUGGAGCGGUGAAAUGCGUAGAUAUCAGAAGGAACGCCGGCGGCGAAAGCGAUUCUCUGGCCUAUUACUGGCACUCAGUGUGCGAAAGCUAGGGGAGCAAACGGGAUUAGAUACCCCGGUAGUCCUAGCCGUAAACGAUGGGCACUAAGUAGAGGGGUUUU
This 477-nucleotide ribosomal RNA is filed under the name Candidatus Scalindua brodae. Its description in RNAcentral is "bacterial SSU rRNA". It matches the Rfam family "Bacterial small subunit ribosomal RNA", at positions 365 to 832 of the family's 1533-position model. Lineage: Bacteria; Pseudomonadati; Planctomycetota; Candidatus Brocadiia; Candidatus Brocadiales; Candidatus Scalinduaceae. RNAcentral also lists the same sequence under 1 other name. The record is from RNAcentral.